UGCUGAGGAUACGGUUAACGGAGCGAAAGCGACGUUCAACCUCAAAAGAAGCAGAGGGGGCUUAGUGGUGGGGUGACUGCGUACCUUUUGUAUAAUGGGUCAGCGACUUAUAUUCUGUAGCAAGGUUAACCGAAUAGGGGAGCCGGAGGGAAACCGAGUCUUAACCGGGCGUUAAGUUGCAGGGUAUAGACCCGAAACCCGGUGAUCUAGCCAUGGGCAGGUUGAAGGUUGGGUAACACUAACUGGAGGACCGAACCGACUAAUGUUGAAAAAUUAGCGGAUGACCUGUGGCUGGGGGUGAAAGGCCAAUCAAACCGGGAGAUAGCUGGUUCUCCCCGAAAGCUAUUUAGGUAGCGCCUCGUGAAUUCAUCUCCGGGGGUAGAGCACUGUUUCGGCUAGGGGGCCAUCCCGGCUUACCAACCCGAUGCAAACUGCGAAUACCGGAGAAUGUUAUCACGGGAGACACACGGCGGGUGCUAACGUCCGUCGUGAAGAGGGAAACAACCCAGACCGCCAGCUAAGGUCCCAAAGUCAUGGUUAAGUGGGAAACGAUGUGGGAAGGCCCAGACAGCCAGGAUGUUGGCUUAGAAGCAGCCAUCAUUUAAAGAAAGCGUAAUAGCUCACUGGUCGAGUCGGCCUGCGCGGAAGAUGUAACGGGGCUAAACCAUGCACCGAAGCUGCGGCAGCGACACUCAGGUGUUGUUGGGUAGGGGAGCGUUCUGUAAGCCUGCGAAGGUGGCCUGUGAGGGUUGCUGGAGGUAUCAGAAGUGCGAAUGCUGACAUAAGUAACGAUAAAGCGGGUGAAAAGCCCGCUCGCCGGAAGACCAAGGGUUCCUGUCCAACGUUAAUCGGGGCAGGGUGAGUCGACCCCUAAGGCGAGGCCGAAAGGCGUAGUCGAUGGGAAACGGGUUAAUAUUCCCGUACUUGGUGUUACUGCGAAGGGGGGACGGAGAAGGCUAUGUUGGCCGGGCGACGGUUGUCCCGGUUUAAGCGUGUAGGUGUGUGUUCCAGGU
This 1013-nucleotide ribosomal RNA is filed under the name Salmonella enterica. RNAcentral's name for it is "partial 23S ribosomal RNA". It matches the Rfam family "Bacterial large subunit ribosomal RNA", at positions 568 to 1537 of the family's 2925-position model. Lineage: Bacteria; Pseudomonadati; Pseudomonadota; Gammaproteobacteria; Enterobacterales; Enterobacteriaceae. The record is from RNAcentral.